Molecule: long non-coding RNA, 796 nt
Filed under: Capsella grandiflora
Lineage: Eukaryota; Viridiplantae; Streptophyta; Magnoliopsida; Brassicales; Brassicaceae
Description: long non-coding RNA (CGRA_LNC001784)
Source: RNAcentral
CGUCCUGGGCGUUCGGCGAAUUCGGGUUAAACGGGUCGGGUUAUUCGGUUAUGACAAAAUUCGGUUUACAAAAAAAUCCACCGAACCAAACCGAAAUUUAUUUCGGUUCGGUUCGGUCGGUACUCGGGUUAUUCGGUUCGGUUAUUUGCUUUUAAAUCAUUUCCGAAAUUUAACCGAAUUUUUUCUAUUUCGGUUAAUAUAAACCGAAUAAAAGAAUAACAAUGUAUAAUGGGCUAAAAGAAGCCCAAAUCCAUUAUAUCUUUGAAAAUGAUAUUAACAAAGAAAAUUAAAAGCCCAUUUAAUAAAUUUACAAAGUGAAUCCAUUAACAACAAUUAGGGUUCGAGUCGGCAGCGCGGCGGCAGCGACGGCAUGACCGACCGUUCAGUCUCUCCGUUCGAUGAAGCUUGUUCGAAAACCAUAAAUAAUAGAUCUGAAGAUUACCGAUAAGUUUGGUAAUGAGAGAGAGGAAGAAGUGGUUCGUGGUUACGGGUUUAGAAAGAAGAAGUGUUAACAACGAUUGAGAUUUAGAGAAUAAAAGAGGAUGUAGAAGAUGAUGAACUCACGAGGGAGAAGAGACGUGAUGAAUCAUGAACAGAUGAAGAAAGAUCUAGGACUAGUGAUAUGAUUAGAAUUAGGAAGAAAGAAGUACAAAUGAAGUCUCUCGUUUUUGUUGCAAGCGGCAGCCAAAGAAAAAGAUUAAAACAUAUUAGGGUUAACGACUCAUCACAAACUUUAUAUAUGGCUGCAGAAUCUCAGUUUCAGCAAAACCGAUCGGUACCGAUUACCGAACCGACC